This 1528-nucleotide ribosomal RNA is filed under the name Lactiplantibacillus plantarum. Its description in RNAcentral is "bacterial SSU rRNA". It matches the Rfam family "Bacterial small subunit ribosomal RNA". The record is from RNAcentral. Lineage: Bacteria; Bacillati; Bacillota; Bacilli; Lactobacillales; Lactobacillaceae.
AGAGUUUGAUCCUGGCUCAGGACGAACGCUGGCGGCGUGCCUAAUACAUGCAAGUCGAACGAACUCUGGUAUUGAUUGGUGCUUGCAUCAUGAUUUACAUUUGAGUGAGUGGCGAACUGGUGAGUAACACGUGGGAAACCUGCCCAGAAGCGGGGGAUAACACCUGGAAACAGAUGCUAAUACCGCAUAACAACUUGGACCGCAUGGUCCGAGUUUGAAAGAUGGCUUCGGCUAUCACUUUUGGAUGGUCCCGCGGCGUAUUAGCUAGAUGGUGAGGUAACGGCUCACCAUGGCAAUGAUACGUAGCCGACCUGAGAGGGUAAUCGGCCACAUUGGGACUGAGACACGGCCCAGACUCCUACGGGAGGCAGCAGUAGGGAAUCUUCCACAAUGGACGAAAGUCUGAUGGAGCAACGCCGCGUGAGUGAAGAAGGGUUUCGGCUCGUAAAACUCUGUUGUUAAAGAAGAACAUAUCUGAGAGUAACUGUUCAGGUAUUGACGGUAUUUAACCAGAAAGCCACGGCUAACUACGUGCCAGCAGCCGCGGUAAUACGUAGGUGGCAAGCGUUGUCCGGAUUUAUUGGGCGUAAAGCGAGCGCAGGCGGUUUUUUAAGUCUGAUGUGAAAGCCUUCGGCUCAACCGAAGAAGUGCAUCGGAAACUGGGAAACUUGAGUGCAGAAGAGGACAGUGGAACUCCAUGUGUAGCGGUGAAAUGCGUAGAUAUAUGGAAGAACACCAGUGGCGAAGGCGGCUGUCUGGUCUGUAACUGACGCUGAGGCUCGAAAGUAUGGGUAGCAAACAGGAUUAGAUACCCUGGUAGUCCAUACCGUAAACGAUGAAUGCUAAGUGUUGGAGGGUUUCCGCCCUUCAGUGCUGCAGCUAACGCAUUAAGCAUUCCGCCUGGGGAGUACGGCCGCAAGGCUGAAACUCAAAGGAAUUGACGGGGGCCCGCACAAGCGGUGGAGCAUGUGGUUUAAUUCGAAGCUACGCGAAGAACCUUACCAGGUCUUGACAUACUAUGCAAAUCUAAGAGAUUAGACGUUCCCUUCGGGGACAUGGAUACAGGUGGUGCAUGGUUGUCGUCAGCUCGUGUCGUGAGAUGUUGGGUUAAGUCCCGCAACGAGCGCAACCCUUAUUAUCAGUUGCCAGCAUUAAGUUGGGCACUCUGGUGAGACUGCCGGUGACAAACCGGAGGAAGGUGGGGAUGACGUCAAAUCAUCAUGCCCCUUAUGACCUGGGCUACACACGUGCUACAAUGGAUGGUACAACGAGUUGCGAACUCGCGAGAGUAAGCUAAUCUCUUAAAGCCAUUCUCAGUUCGGAUUGUAGGCUGCAACUCGCCUACAUGAAGUCGGAAUCGCUAGUAAUCGCGGAUCAGCAUGCCGCGGUGAAUACGUUCCCGGGCCUUGUACACACCGCCCGUCACACCAUGAGAGUUUGUAACACCCAAAGUCGGUGGGGUAACCUUUUAGGAACCAGCCGCCUAAGGUGGGACAGAUGAUUAGGGUGAAGUCGUAACAAGGUAGCC